Molecule: long non-coding RNA, 2761 nt
Organism: Equus caballus (horse)
Lineage: Eukaryota; Metazoa; Chordata; Mammalia; Perissodactyla; Equidae
Source: Ensembl
UAUGGUAGUUCUAUUCUUAAUUUUUUGAGAAAUCUCCAUAGUAUUUUCCAUAGUGUCUACACCAGUUUACAUUCCCACCAGCAGUGUAUGAGGGUUCCGUUUUCUCCCCAUCCUCUCCAACACUUAUUUCCUGUCUCGUUAAUUAUAGCCAUUCUGAUAUGUGUGAGGUGGUAUCUCAUUGUAGUUUUGAUUUGCAUUUCCCUAAUAAUUAAUGAUGUUGAACAUCUUUUCAUGUGCCUGUUGGCCAUAUGUGUGUCUUCUUUGGAAAAAUGUUUGUUCAGAUCUUUUGCCCAUUUUCAAAUUGGUUGUUUCUUUGAUGUUGAGAUGUAUGAGUUCCUUAUAUAUUUUGGAUAUUAACCCCUUAUCAGAUAUAUGAUUUGCAAAAUAUCUUCUCCCAGUUUUUAGGUUGUCUUUUCAUUUUGUUGAUGAUUUCGUUUGCUGUGCAGAAGUUUUUUGGUCCCAUCUGUAGUCCCAUUUGUAAACGCACACAUCUGUGGACAGCUAAUCUUUGACAAGGGAGCCAAGAACAUACAAUGAAGAAAGGAAAGUCUCUUCAAUAAAUAGUGUUGGGAAAACUGGACAGCCACGUGCAAAAGAAUGAAAGUAGACUAUUAUCUUACACCAUGCACAAAAAUUAACUCAAAGUGGACUAAAGAAUGUAAGACGUGAAACCGUAAAACUUCUAGAAGAAAACAUAGGCAGUAUGUGCUCUUCGACAUCAGUUUUAGCAGCAUCUUUUUGAAUAGCAUGUCUUGCCAGACAAAGGAAACAAAAGAAAAAAUAGUUGAUGCUUCUUAGCUGUCGCAGCCCAAUCCUUUUGGUGUCUGUGGUCCUAGACUUCUGCUUGGCAACAGGAUCAGAGCCAUCCGCAGGGAGACAGCACCGAGUCACAGGCAUUGGAGAUGGAUGGAGAGAGGAAAGAGGCUGCGAAGCCAGAGAAAAGCUGAUUGGAAUCACACAGUAUGGAGCCUUUACAGAGUGGCUUCUUUCACUUAGCAAUGUGCAUUUAAGGUUCCUCCAUCUUUUCGUGGUUUGAUAGCUCAUUUCUUUUUAUUGCUGAGUAAGAUUCCAUUGUCUGGAUGUACUAUCUGUCUUUGUAUUGUUGAGUUACAGGAAUUCUUUACCCCGGAUACUAGUCCAUUGUUAAAUCUAUGUUUUGCAAAUAUUCUUCCCAACUUGUGGCUUGCCUUUCCAUUUUCUUUAUGGUAUCUUUUGAUAAGCAGAAGCUUUUAAUUUCGAUGAGGUCUAAUUUAUAACCUUUUCUUUUUUUGUUACUGCUUUUUGUGGCUCAAGAAACCUGUGCAUACCCCAAAUCAUGAAGACAUUCUCUUAUGUUUUCCACUGGAAGUUUUAUGGCGUUAGCUUUUACACUUGGGUCUAGGCUCCAUCUCACAUUGCUAUUUGUGUGUGGUAGCGGUCAAGUUUCUAAUUCUUUUUUUACAUAUGAAUAUCUAGUCAUUCCAGCACCAUUUGUUAAAAAGACUUUCCUUUCUCCAUUGAACUGCUUUGGGGUCUUCGUUGAAAAUGUAACGACUGUGUAAGUGUGGGUAUUUCUGAGCUCUCUUUUCUGUUAUGCUGAUUUGUCAAUCCUUGUUGCUAGUACCAUACUGUCUGGACUGAUGUAGCUUUCUAGUUAAUCUUCAAAUGAAGUACUAUAAGUCCUCCAACUUGCUUUUCUCAAGAUUACUUUGGGUAUUACAGGUACUUUGUAUUUCUCCAUAUAACUUUUAGAAUUAGUUUGUCAAUUUCUUUUAGAAAACUUGUUGGAAUUUAAAAAUUCUGGUAAAAUAUACAUAACUUAAAAAUGACCAUUUUAGCCAUUUUAAGUGUACAAUUCAGUGGCAUUAAGUACAAUCACAAUGUGUAACCAUCACCACUAGCUAUUUCCAGAACUUUUUCAUCUUCCCAAACAGAAAGUCUGUACCCAUUAAACAAUAACUCCCCAUUACCGACUCCCUUCAGCCCCUGAGAACCUGUAUUUUCUCUCUAUAGGUUUGUCUAUCCUGGACAUUCAUAUAAAUGCAAUCAUACAGUAUUGAGUCUUUCAUAUCUGGCUUAUUUUGCUUAGCAUGUUUUUAAGGUUCACCCAUGUUGUAGCAUAUAUCAGAAUUUCCUUUUUAUGGCUGGAUAAUAUUUGUGUGUAUGUAUAUUAUAUCAUAUUUUAUUUAUCUACUCACCUGUCGAAUACUUGGGUUACUUCCACCUUUUGGCCGCUGUGAAUAAUGCUGCUCCGAACAUGGGUGUACAGAUAUCAGUUUGAGUCCCUGCUUUCAGUUCUUUUGGGUAAAUACCUACGAGGAGAAUUGCUGGAUCAUACGGUAACUCAAUGUUUAACUUUUGGGGAACUGCCAAAGUGUCUUCCACAGCAGCACCACCAUUUUAUAUUCCCACCAGCAGUGCACGAGGGUUCCAGUUUCUCUGCAUUCUUGUUAACGCUUGUUAUUUUGUUUUGCUUUUUAACUAAAUUUUUUUUUAUUAAAGCCAUCCUAGGAGGUGUGAAGGGGUACCUCAUGUGGGUUUGAUUUGCAUUUUCCUAAUGACUAAUGAUGUUCAGUAUCUUUUCAUGUGCUUAUUGACCAUUUGUAUAUAUUCUUACAGAAUACAGAAAUAGAGAAUAUUGAAUAGAGAAAUGUCUACUCAAAUCCUUUGCCCAUUUUUAAAAUUGGGUUUGUUUUUGUUGUUAUCCACUGACAUUCUGAUGGGAUUGUACUGAAUCUGUAGAUCAAUGGGUAGAAUUAAAAUAUUAAUAAUAUUGAGUCUC